RNAcentral lists this ribosomal RNA (1233 nucleotides) under Triticum aestivum (bread wheat). RNAcentral's name for it is "partial small subunit ribosomal RNA". Lineage: Eukaryota; Viridiplantae; Streptophyta; Magnoliopsida; Poales; Poaceae. The record is from RNAcentral.
AUGGACGGCCGGGCUCAGCCGCAGCAGCAGCAGACGCCGCUGCCGCUGCCGCUGCCGCCGCCGCCGCAGCAGACGACGCCACCGCCGACGCCGCAGACGCAGACGCCGCGCGUGAGCUCGCCGCCGCCGGUGGCCCCCGGCGUCAUGAUGCCGCAGCACGCCUACGGCGCGAUGCCGCCGGGCUCCGCGAGCGUCAUGCACGGGAUGCCGCUCGCCUUCAACCCCAUGGCGUCGCCCGGGGCCUCGCAGGCGGCAUUGAAGCCCGCGGACAUGCCGCCGCUCGCCAUGUACCGGCCCGAUUCCACCCCGCCGGGCAUGCCGCAGUCCGUCGGCGGCGGCGGUGGCGCCCUGGUGGUCAGCGUCAGCGGCAGCGGCAGCGGCGGGGAGCUCGUGAAGAAGAAGAGGGGAAGGCCGAGGAAGUACGGGCCGGACGGGACCAUGGGCUCGGCGGUGAAGGCCGAGGCGGGCGGGCAGUCUGGUGGCGCGGGCUCCAACUCGAAUCCUGACGGGAAGCGCAGAGGACGGCCCCCGGGAUCUGGCAAAAAGAAACAGCUCGAUGCCUUAGGUUCAGCUGGGACAUCAUUUACUCCUCACAUAAUAACUGUCAAGCCUAAUGAGGAUGUUGCUUCGAAAAUAAUGUCUUUUUCACAACAAGGCCCACGUACUACAUGUAUAAUCUCAGCAAACGGUGCGCUGUGCACAGCAACACUCCGUCAACCAGCAACCUCUGGUGGCAUAGUGACAUAUGAGGGCCACUUUGAUAUUCUCUCUCUGUCGGGCUCAUUUCUGCUGGCAGAGGAUGGUGACACUCGUAGCAGGACAGGUGGUCUGAGUGUUGCUCUGGCUGGAAGCGAUGGGCGUAUCGUAGGAGGUUGUGUUGCAGGAAUGCUUAUGGCUGCAACGCCUGUCCAGGUUGUGGUGGGCAGCUUCAUCGCCGAAGGUAACAAAAAGCCCAAGGAAGAACAACCGAAACGCGAGCCAACAUCUGCGCCGAUGCUUACAUCUGCGCCGAUGCAGACGCCUGCUGGCUUCGGUGCAGCCUCAGCUGCUGCUACGCCAUCAGAUGGAACAUCAAGUGACCAUUCUGAUGACCCAGGGAGCCCUAUGGGACCCAACGGUAGCACGUUCAACAAUGCAGGCCAUCCGACACACGCUUCAUAUGCUCCGGUGGGCUGGUCCCUCUCCGGGAACCAAGGCCGCUACGACCCAGACAUGAAGAUGGUGACCGACUAA